Long non-coding RNA from Gopherus evgoodei (Goodes thornscrub tortoise), 3213 nucleotides. RefSeq lists it as uncharacterized. Lineage: Eukaryota; Metazoa; Chordata; Testudines; Testudinidae. The transcript has 3 exons. The record is from RefSeq and is a predicted model, not a curated record.
CACAUCCUGAAUACCGUAGACAGGUCUGGUCACCCCCUUUCAAAAAUGAUGUAUUGGAAUUGGAAAAAGUACAAAGAAAGGCAAAUAAUAUUAGGAGUAUGGAACAGCUUCUAUCUGAGGAGAGAUUAAAGAGACUGGGACUGUUCAGCUUGGAAAAGAGAGCACUGUGCGGGGGGUGGGAUACGACAGAGAUCUAAGAAUCAUGACUGGGGUGCAGAAAGUGAAUCAGGAAGUGUUAUUUACCCCUCCCAUAACACAAACCAGGGGUCAUUCAAUGAAAUCAAUAGGCAGCAGGUUUAAAACAAACACAAGGAAGUAUUUCUUCACACACAGCACAGUCAGUCUGUGGAACUCAUUGCCAGGGGAUGUUGUGAAGGCCACAAGUAAAAACUGGAUUACAAAAAGAAUUCCCUAAAUUCCUGGCGGAUGGUCCAUCCAUGGCUAUUAGCCAAGAUGGGCAGGGACACAACUCAUGCGCUGGCUGUCCCUAAAUCUGACUGCCAGAAGCUGGGACUGGAGACAGGAUGGAGCACUCGAUAAAUUGCCCUGUUCUGUUCAUUCCCUCUGAUACAUCUGGCACCGCUCACUGUUAGAAGACAGACCACUGGGCUACUGGUCUGCCCCAGUGUGGCUGUUCUUACGUUGCGGGGAGGCUGGAACUGCCAGGGGGCUCCUGUCUCGUAAGCUAGCACAAGUGGAAAGUCUCCUGGGUGCUGGUUCCCCCAGGCUGGCCCUGUGGGCUGUGGAACCCUGGGACACCUCCCACCCAUCCCAGCUCCUGGGAGAACAGGAGCCCUGGCAGCCUCCCCACCCAUGUUCCCUGCCAGGAUCAGAGCAGCUCCAGCCUGAGGUCCUGCUGCAACCUGGGCAGUGCUGAGGUGCUGGCAGGGCUGCUGGGAGAGCACAGGCUCCCACCCAGGUGCCAGGGCAGGGCCCCUGAUAAGCAGCAGGCUCUUGUCUAUCAACAACUUCGCAGAGCACCCCAUCCAGCCCCUUAUCACAGGCCCCACAGGCAAGCGGCUUCCAGGAACUCUGAGCCCCACCCCUCUGCCAGGCCAGAGAACUGGCCAGCAAACAGGCACGCAGGCCACGUGCCCAGUGACACCCCAGAUGAGUGCCCCACAUGUUCUGCCCCAGAGUCCAGUGGAGGAACGCCUGCACUCAGCUGGGUUGGCAUCCCGCCAGCCACCCUCCCUCCCCCAAGGCAGAGUCUGGACACAUGGACACCUGCAUCCGUCCCUCUCCAACCUAGAUGCCACCAGCUAUCCGGGUGCUGAGUCCCUCUGCAAUAGCCAUGUGUUGCUCUGCACCAAGAACAGCCUUUACAUCCCUCAUUGGCUGUGCCUAGCUUGGCCCUGCCUCAGUGGCCCAAUGGCGGGGGGGAACCAGAGCAACCCCAGGGGCUGUGGUCUAAGCACACAAGCUCGGUUCUCAGGGCUGCUGAGCCUGCAGCUUCCCCAGGCAGUUUCAGGGGCACACCAGGGAAAUGAGCCAUGCCUGGCUGGGGGCAGGGGCGUGGCUGGGUCAGGACGGGGUCCCAGGGAGGCACUGCAUGUGUAGCGCUGUCACAGGGUGGAGCAGGUGCCAAUGCCUAGACCUGCGGGGAUGGGAGCCACCCACGGCAGGGCUGUCUCACCUCUGUGGGUCUGGGAUGCCCAUGGUCGGGGGCAGAGAUCGCGUCAGGCUGGGGGGGGGGGGCUUCGGGUUGUGCUGCACGUAGCCCACUAGUGAAUGGAGUUUCCUUUUGGGAAAAAGCAAGACCAGUUGGAAGCUGACAACCUCUGAGCUAUGGGCCAGCAGGAAUCUCUGGUUCCUGGUCAGAGCCAUGGUCAGGGCCCAGCUUUGUAGCCCUGGUCUGGUGGUUUGGUGGCCCACACAUGCAAGGAGUUUAGUGGGCCUUAGCCCAGCUCCUAGCAGAUGGGGUGCCCUGGCAUGAACACCAUGGCUCUAAUCAGCCCUAACUAGAGCUGGGUCCUGUUCUUGGCAGGUUGGGCAGAAAGUGGCCCCUGGGGCAUGAGCACCCUGGCCCUAGCGCUCCUCUCUCCAGGAUACGUUAGUGGAGUGGGGAGAAGAACUGCUCCUGCUGCUCAGCUUGCAGGGCCCCUCCUGCUGGUGCCCAAGUCCCCCCGCUCUUGCGGUGUGCGAAUGUGUGCGCUAAGCCUGGAGCAGGUGCCAGGCCUGUGGGGUGGCCAUGGGCGCUGCUGGUGCUUGGGCUGGGCUCCUUUUGACGGCACAGUCCUGGGGAAUGUGCGUAAUGACACCCCAAGUUCUGGUGUAGCUCUCACAGGCCAUUUCCAAAUGGGAAGAACUGGCCCCUGCAUCCAGGCCCUGCCAGUGCUUCUCUGACCCAGGGGAGCCAGGUGGGGGGCAGUGCUACUGGGCCAGCUGGUUGGUCUGGGGGUUGUGACCAUGUGCAGGGGGCUUUCGCCCCAGGGGAGCAGGCAGGGUGCUAGCUCCACACCAAGCAGCCAGGAGCCCAGGAAGCAGACUCAGUCGCUGUCCCCAAAGCUCUGUCAUUUCCUGACACUCCCUAGCACUGGGCAGACUCUUGGCUGCUGCAGCUGCACCAAAGCCAGGCAGGAAAGGGUUAAAAGGGGGAGGGCCUGAUAUGAGCAGCUACUUGAUAUGCAAAUGAGGCCACAGUAGGUAUUAUAAGUGACUCGCUGGAGGAGCUGGCUCUGGGGUGGAAAAAGGAGCUCACUCCUCCUGGCCUGGUCUGGCCCAGCCCGGUUCCCUUUUCCAGCCCAGGCAGCAAGAGUGUCCACCCGCCGUGGGGGCUCUGGGCAGGAUAUCAUCGUAUACUGGUGGGGGGCAGCGAGUUUCCCCUUCUGGAGUGGGACUGAGCACACGAGGAGAAACCUGCCCGGGAACUCUGUUCUUCUCUCCUAGAAGCUGCACCCAGCGUCUCUGUCUGCCAUGGUGCUGGCUACAGGCCUGCAGCGAGGACCAGCAAUCCAGGCAAUUAAUUUAGCUGCUUGGGGGUGGGGGGGAAGAGAGGGUGGUAGAAAAAAUUACUCAUCAGCCUGCUCCCCUCUAGUGAGGCACCCUGCUCCUGCCAUCUAGCCCCCCUGUUCUUCUGUUCCUGGCCUUCUCCUUCCUUACUCCACUGCCCUAUUGCGUAUCCUCAGCUUGACUACCGACAGGUAGGAGCUCUUGUGCUCUCCCCCAGCUCAGUACCCCCUCCCUCUCGGGUUUUGGGCACCUCACUCACCU